CUGGACUUGAACCCAGCUGUGUGUCCUUCAAAAGCGACUUGUCAAUGGAUAAUGAGAUUAAUUUUAAAGACCAACCUGUAUCAGAGUCACAAGUGGACCAGCAGAGCUCAGAGGUUCCCAGUGCUCAGUCUGUCCAGCAGCACCAAACACAGGUGGACUCCAUAUUUAUGCUGCUGGAGGAAAACAUUGUCACGUUUGUGAAGAAGGAGC
Betta splendens (Siamese fighting fish) is the source of this 210-nucleotide long non-coding RNA. RefSeq lists it as uncharacterized. The record is from RefSeq and is a predicted model, not a curated record. The transcript is spliced from 3 exons. Lineage: Eukaryota; Metazoa; Chordata; Actinopteri; Anabantiformes; Osphronemidae.